Molecule: ribosomal RNA, 572 nt
Filed under: uncultured bacterium
Lineage: Bacteria
Description: partial 16S ribosomal RNA
Rfam family: Bacterial small subunit ribosomal RNA
Source: RNAcentral
UGGGGAAUUUUGGACAAUGGGCGCAAGCCUGAUCCAGCCAUGCCGCGUGCGGGAAGAAGGCCUUCGGGUUGUAAACCGCUUUUGUCAGGGAAGAAAUCUUCUGAGUUAAUACCUCGGGAGGAUGACGGUACCUGAAGAAUAAGCACCGGCUAACUACGUGCCAGCAGCCGCGGUAAUACGUAGGGUGCAAGCGUUAAUCGGAAUUACUGGGCGUAAAGCGUGCGCAGGCGGUUUUGUAAGACAGAGGUGAAAUCCCCGGGCUCAACCUGGGAACUGCCUUUGUGACUGCAAGGCUUGAGUGCGGCAGAGGGGGAUGGAAUUCCGCGUGUAGCAGUGAAAUGCGUAGAUAUGCGGAGGAACACCGAUGGCGAAGGCAAUCCCCUGGGCCUGCACUGACGCUCAUGCACGAAAGCGUGGGGAGCAAACAGGAUUAGAUAGCCCUGGUAGUCCACGCCCUAAACGAUGUCAACUGGUUGUUGGGAAGGUUCCUUCUCAGUAACGUAGCUAACGCGUGAAGUUGACCGCCUGGGGAGUACGGCCGCAAGGUUGAAACUCAAAUGAAUUGACGGGGU